RNAcentral lists this ribosomal RNA (921 nucleotides) under Klebsiella pneumoniae. RNAcentral describes it as "partial 23S ribosomal RNA". It matches the Rfam family "Bacterial large subunit ribosomal RNA", at positions 167 to 1129 of the family's 2925-position model. Lineage: Bacteria; Pseudomonadati; Pseudomonadota; Gammaproteobacteria; Enterobacterales; Enterobacteriaceae. The record is from RNAcentral.
UAGGUUAACGAGGCGAACCGGGGGAACUGAAACAUCUAAGUACCCCGAGGAAAAGAAAUCAACCGAGAUUCCCCCAGUAGCGGCGAGCGAACGGGGAGCAGCCCAGAGUCUGAAUCAGCUUGUGUGUUAGUGGAACGGUCUGGAAAGUCCGACGGUACAGGGUGAUAGUCCCGUACACCAAAAUGCACAGGUUGUGAACUCGAAGAGUAGGGCGGGACACGUGGUAUCCUGUCUGAAUAUGGGGGGACCAUCCUCCAAGGCUAAAUACUCCUGACUGACCGAUAGUGAACCAGUACCGUGAGGGAAAGGCGAAAAGAACCCCGGCGAGGGGAGUGAAAAAGAACCUGAAACCGUGUACGUACAAGCAGUGGGAGCACCUUCGGGUGUGACUGCGUACCUUUUGUAUAAUGGGUCAGCGACUUAUAUUCUGUAGCAAGGUUAACCGUAUAGGGGAGCCGCAGGGAAACCGAGUCUUAACUGGGCGUUAAGUUGCAGGGUAUAGACCCGAAACCCGGUGAUCUAGCCAUGGGCAGGUUGAAGGUUGGGUAACACUAACUGGAGGACCGAACCGACUAAUGUUGAAAAAUUAGCGGAUGACUUGUGGCUGGGGGUGAAAGGCCAAUCAAACCGGGAGAUAGCUGGUUCUCCCCGAAAGCUAUUUAGGUAGCGCCUCGUGAACUCAUCUUCGGGGGUAGAGCACUGUUUCGGCUAGGGGGUCAUCCCGACUUACCAACCCGAUGCAAACUACGAAUACCGAAGAAUGUUAUCACGGGAGACACACGGCGGGUGCUAACGUCCGUCGUGAAGAGGGAAACAACCCAGACCGCCAGCUAAGGUCCCAAAGUCAUGGUUAAGUGGGAAACGAUGUGGGAAGGCACAGACAGCCAGGAUGUUGGCUUAGAAGCAGCCAUCAUUUAAAGA